UACGUAGGUGACAAGCGUUGUCCGGAUUUACUGGGCGUAAAGAGCGCGCAGGCGGUCGUUCAAGUCGAGUGUGAAAGCCCCCGGCUCAACUGGGGAGGGUCAUUCGAUACUGAUCGACUCGAAGGCAGGAGAGGGAAGUGGAAUUCCCGGUGUAGUGGUGAAAUGCGUAGAUAUCGGGAGGAACACCAGUGGCGAAGGCGACUUCCUGGCCUGUUCUUGACGCUGAGGCGCGAAAGCGUGGGGAGCAAACAGG
This 253-nucleotide ribosomal RNA is filed under the name uncultured bacterium. Its description in RNAcentral is "partial 16S ribosomal RNA". It matches the Rfam family "Bacterial small subunit ribosomal RNA", at positions 524 to 776 of the family's 1533-position model. The record is from RNAcentral.